This 600-nucleotide ribosomal RNA is filed under the name Dujonia oleophila. RNAcentral describes it as "LSU rRNA". It matches the Rfam family "Eukaryotic large subunit ribosomal RNA", at positions 1 to 603 of the family's 3401-position model. Lineage: Eukaryota; Fungi; Ascomycota; Pichiomycetes; Serinales; Debaryomycetaceae. The record is from RNAcentral.
UUGACCUCAAAUCAGGUAGGACUACCCGCUGAACUUAAGCAUAUCAAUAAGCGGAGGAAAAGAAACCAACAGGGAUUGCCUUAGUAACGGCGAGUGAAGCGGCAAAAGCUCAAAUUUGAAAUCUAGCACUUUCAGUGUUCGAGUUGUAAUUUGAAGAAGGUAACUUUGGAAUUGGCUCUUGUCUAUGUUCCUUGGAACAGGACGUCACAGAGGGUGAGAAUCCCGUGCGAUGAGAUGUCCAAUUCUAUGUAAAGUGCUUUCGAAGAGUCGAGUUGUUUGGGAAUGCAGCUCUAAGUGGGUGGUAAAUUCCAUCUAAAGCUAAAUAUUGGCGAGAGACCGAUAGCGAACAAGUACAGUGAUGGAAAGAUGAAAAGAACUUUGAAAAGAGAGUGAAAAAGUACGUGAAAUUGUUGAAAGGGAAGGGCUUGAGAUCAGACUUGGUAUUUUGUGUUCCUUAUUCUUUUUGGAUUUGGUUCCUCACAGCUUACCGGGCCAGCAUCGGUUUGGAUGGUAGGAUAAUGACAUUGGAAUGUAGCUUUGCUUCGGUGAAGUGUUAUAGACUUUGUUGAUACUGCCUAUCUAGACCGAGGACUGCGUCUU